This 105-nucleotide transfer RNA is filed under the name Promethearchaeota archaeon. RNAcentral describes it as "Candidatus Lokiarchaeota archaeon (microbial mat metagenome) tRNA-Gly". It matches the Rfam family "tRNA". From Rfam's summary of the family: Transfer RNA (tRNA) molecules are approximately 80 nucleotides in length. Their secondary structure includes four short double-helical elements and three loops (D, anti-codon, and T loops). The record is from RNAcentral. Lineage: Archaea; Promethearchaeati; Promethearchaeota.
GCGGUUGUUGUCUAGCCGUGUCAAACUUCUUGGCGCGGGGCGAUGGGGCUAGGAUUCCAGCCUUCCAAGCUGGUGGCCCGGGUUCAAUUCCCGGCGACCGCACCA